Molecule: long non-coding RNA, 407 nt
Organism: Pogonomyrmex barbatus (red harvester ant)
Lineage: Eukaryota; Metazoa; Arthropoda; Insecta; Hymenoptera; Formicidae
Source: RefSeq, a predicted model, not a curated record
AACAAGUAAAAAUGAUAAUGUAGAAAGCUUCGAAGAUAUAGAAUUUUUAAAGAAACAGCAAUCCCAGAGCAUACAUCUUUCAUAAUCUUGUACCAUUUCAAUUGAGACAUCACGGCCUUCACUGACAAGUCAAGAGAUUUUGGCUUUGUUGAAAGUUUUAUGAUGCGACAAAUCAUAUGUUAAAUUCAUAUGUUAAAUGAACUCAUUCCUAAGGAAACGCACACGAAAGAUGACGCUGCUACCGCUUUUGACAUACCUCUCCAGUUACAUGCGCAAAAGAAAAUUGUUUUGCAACAGAAAAAAUGUUAGCGCAUUCUGUGGAUUUUAAAGUACGGUCUAACUCAUAAACAUAAUUGAAAUAUAAGUUAUAUUACUUUAACUAUAUUUAAUUAUUAAUGUAGAUAAUA